UACGUAGGUGGCAAGCGUUGUCCGGAUUUAUUGGGCGUAAAGCGAGUGCAGGCGGUUCAAUAAGUCUGAUGUGAAAGCCCUCGGCUUAACCGGAGAAUUGCAUCAGAAACUGUUGAACUUGAGUGCAGAAGAGGAGAGUGGAACUCCAUGUGUAGCGGUGGAAUGCGUAGAUAUAUGGAAGAACACCAGUGGCGAAGGCGGCUCUCUGGUCUGCAACUGACGCUGAGGCUCGAAAGCAUGGGUAGCGAACAGG
This 253-nucleotide ribosomal RNA is filed under the name uncultured bacterium. RNAcentral describes it as "partial 16S ribosomal RNA". It matches the Rfam family "Bacterial small subunit ribosomal RNA", at positions 524 to 776 of the family's 1533-position model. The record is from RNAcentral.